UCAGUGUGGGCUUUUUAGCCUGGCAAAUUGUUAGCCUCCCGUGAAAAUAGAUUGCGGUGACAGUUUGUCGGCGUGAUGUAAUUUUUUCGAUGCAUGUUUUGACGGUUUUGGACAUGUUACCAUUGGAGUGUGUGGUGGCAUACAGUGAAGGCAGAGCAUAGUUAAUGCGAUUUAGUAGCAUUAACAUCCAUGUUUCAUACCUUGCCUAUUUGCGUUAUUAGCAAGUUUAAUAUGUAAUGCAAGUUGAACGCGACUGGUUUUGUGGAGGUGAUUGUAUUUUUGGAGCAGAGCUAUUGUGAGAAGACUAUGUGCUAUCUGUAGCAAGUGUUCUGCUUGCGAGAAGAAGAUUGAGUGGUGUCUACAACAGGGUUUCUUCAGUCGUGGUGCAUGUGAGACGGUUAGGUCUACAAUUGUUUGAUUCCCUUAUAGUGGGGCUUACUUGGACAUGAGCCAUUAGAGAUCUUACGGCUUUCAGCAGGCCUAUGCUUUACUGAGAGGAUAGCUUUAAUAACAACAUUGUUAACUCUCCUCAGGGGUAUUCUUUAUCACUGAGAGGGAUGAAUCCCACAGAGAAAUCAUACAAAAUAAUUUAAUCUUACACGGAUUUACAAAAUGGGAUGAACUCAUAUUAAGUGGGAGCAAUCAUGGUGACAAUGUUGUUGUCUUCAAGUCGUGCAAAAGGGAGGAGAUUUGAUAAAGAAAGAAUAUCGAAUAUGGAAAAAUGGAGGAGAUCACUGGAGUGAUGUUACAGGGAAUGUUGUUGUUGCUCACGUAUUCAAGCUUCCAGAUCCCAUGUACUUCAUUUCUUAAUAUCGAUUCUAUACCUCAAUCUAUUCAUGUGUAUAUAAGCUGUGGGAAUUGACCCACACAAAUAAACCUAUGAAGGGCUUAGCCAUGUAAGAAAAAUAUUGUUGUGGUGGCAACCACGUUAAGCAUUGCCAAUUGAGGUGUGCACUAACUAUUGUUUUUUUUCAAUAGAUAAGUGAGAGGGCUAAAUGGGACCUGCUCACUUAAAAAUCAUAGUUCACAACAAUGAAAUUAAAAUAAAA
Cryptomeria japonica (Japanese cedar) is the source of this 1049-nucleotide long non-coding RNA. RefSeq lists it as uncharacterized. Lineage: Eukaryota; Viridiplantae; Streptophyta; Pinopsida; Cupressales; Cupressaceae. The record is from RefSeq and is a predicted model, not a curated record. The transcript is spliced from 5 exons.